UACGGAGGGUGCAAGCGUUAUCCGGAAUCACUGGGUUUAAAGGGUGCGUAGGCGGCUUAAUCAGUCAGAAGUGAAAUCCUCUCGCUUAACGGGAGAAUUGCUUUUGAUACUGUUAGGCUUGAAUUAGGCUGAGGUCAGCGGAAUGAGUCAUGUAGCGGUGAAAUGCAUAGAUAUGACUUAGAACACCAAUUGCGAAGGCAGCUGGCUAGACCUAUAUUGACGCUGAGGCACGAAAGCGUGGGGAGCGAACAGG
Molecule: ribosomal RNA, 253 nt
Filed under: uncultured bacterium
Lineage: Bacteria
Description: partial 16S ribosomal RNA
Rfam family: Bacterial small subunit ribosomal RNA
Source: RNAcentral